Molecule: long non-coding RNA, 792 nt
Organism: Quercus robur (English oak)
Lineage: Eukaryota; Viridiplantae; Streptophyta; Magnoliopsida; Fagales; Fagaceae
Exons: 2
Source: RefSeq, a predicted model, not a curated record
GUGACCUCUGAACCAUCCUAUAUAUCAGAAUUACUAGAAAGUUGGAGAAGGGAUUCAUAUCCAACGGGGUACAAUACCUAAAUUCUCAGCCAUAGAUUUAAUCUAAUGGCUUAAGCCUUUGACACCUCACCAAUCCAUGCUGGCAAUCCGUGUGCUCAACUCUCUGCUAAUUCAAUUUGCUCUCUACUCACUGCUUUUUGCCUAAACUUCUCGUCAAAGCCAAAAAAAUUGAAAAUAUUUCUCUCUUCCACCAAACCUUUGUCUAUGCCUAAAUCUCCAUGGCUAUAGCUAGCAGCCACCAAAUCCCUCACCACCACACAUUCUCCUCGUCUCUCUCUCUCUCUCUCUCUCUCUCUCUGGAUUUCUAUGUUUUCUCUUUCUCUCAAGCCCAACCGUGGCCGAGCUUCUACUUCCACUCACACCUAUCGCCAUUGGCGGUGCCUCUCAUUGGCAUCACAACCACUGGUGGCCGCAGGAGUGUGUAGAUGUAUAUGUGUGUGGGGUGCUAAUGGGGAGUGCAUGUGGUGUUGAUGAGACAUGCGUGUGUUGAUGCAUGGUGAGGUGCUACAGGGUGUGCGUGGGCUGCUAAUGUGGGGUGCAUCUACUACUGAUGGGACAUACGUGUGCAGUUGAUGAGGUGUGCAUGUGCCAGUGCAGCUUGAGUGUACAAUGUGUCUAUGCUUUAGAUAAUGUUAUAUUUGAUUAGCUGGCAUUGUAUACUUGUAUUUCAGUAUAGAUAUACUUGUAUUACUUGUAUUGGUGAUAUGUUUACAUUAGCCUUGUGUGGCAUGA